GAUGAACGCUAGCGGCAGGCCUAACACAUGCAAGUCGAGGGGUAUAGUUCUUCGGAACUAGAGACCGGCGCACGGGUGCGUAACGCGUAUGCAAUCUACCUUUUACAGGGGAAUAGCCCAGAGAAAUUUGGAUUAAUGCCCCAUAGUGUUAUAGAAUCGCAUGGUUUUAUAACUAAAGUUCCAACGGUAAAAGAUGAGCAUGCGUCCCAUUAGUUAGUUGGUAAGGUAACGGCUUACCAAGACAAUGAUGGGUAGGGGUCCUGAGAGGGAGAUCCCCCACACUGGUACUGAGACACGGACCAGACUCCUACGGGAGGCAGCAGUGAGGAAUAUUGGACAAUGGGCGGCAAGCCUGAUCCAGCCACUGCCGCGUGCAGGAAGACGGUCCUA
RNAcentral lists this ribosomal RNA (390 nucleotides) under uncultured bacterium. Its description in RNAcentral is "bacterial SSU rRNA". It matches the Rfam family "Bacterial small subunit ribosomal RNA", at positions 28 to 419 of the family's 1533-position model. The record is from RNAcentral.